UGGUUGGACAGCCUACACUUAACCACAUUCUAGUGCCAAAGCAUCACCUCCCUCCCCUCUCCUAUAUAAACACACAAAACACAUAUACUCCACAUAUCCACCUGCUGCAGUUGCCUCUUCUACGCUACCAACAACAACAACGAUAAUAACAACAAGAGAGGAGGUGGGAGCUUUUGGCUCACCCCUCUUGCUCCCAUUCUUGCGCUAGCGUU
This 212-nucleotide long non-coding RNA is filed under the name Oryza brachyantha (malo sina). Its description in RNAcentral is "long non-coding RNA (OBRA_LNC000451)". Lineage: Eukaryota; Viridiplantae; Streptophyta; Magnoliopsida; Poales; Poaceae. The record is from RNAcentral.